UUUCUCUCCCUCUCUUAAUGGCAGGUGCACUUGGUGCAACAUGCAGGACAUCAGGCUGAUUGUGUUGGGUGGUUGAGUCAGGACAGUCAGACUGAUUGUGUUGGGUGGUUGAGGCAGGACAUCAGACUGUGUUGGGUGGUUGAGUCAGGACAGUCAGACUGAUUGUGUUGGGUGGUUGAGGCAGGACAUCAGACUGAUUGUGUUGGGUGGUUGAGGCAGGACAUCAGACUGAUUGUGUUGGGUGGUUGAGGCAGGACAUCAGACUGAUUUUGUUGGGUGGUUGAGGCAGGACAUCAGACUGAUUGUGUUGGGUGGUUGAGGCAGGACAUCAGACUGAUUGUGUUGGGUGGUUGAGGCAGGACAUCAGACUGAUUGUGUUGGGUGGUUGAGGCAGGACAUCAGACUGAUUAUGUUGGGUGGUUGAGGCAGGACAUCAGACUGAUUAUGUUGGGUGGUUGAGGCAGGACAUCAGACUGAUUAUGUUGGGUGGUUGAGAGGAAGGGCAAUCUCAGGAGUAGCAGUAAAUGCAUGGGUCACAUAUGAAGCUCAUGUGAUCUGUUGAGAUUCAGUGGAUCAGGAAAUACUUUUCAGCAUCAAUGCAUAUAACAAUAUACACCAAUAGAACACAUAAUGCACCAAUAGAAGCCAAUAGAACACAUAAUGCACCAAUAGAAGCCAAUAGAACACAUAAUGCACCAAUAGAAGCCAAUAGAACACAAUGCACCAAUAGAAGCCAAUAGAACACAUAAUGCACCAAUAGACACCACUAUAACUCACCUGUUGUGUUUGUUUCUACUAUCAGUCACUACAAUAGUUAUGCCUUUCAUUGGAAGGAGAGUGUUCUUGAGUAAAUCAACAAAAACAUUCAAUAACUGGAAAAAUGUCAAUAUUUCCUUGGAUUAGUAUUAAGAUCAUUCCAUAGAACAGUGGCGGUUAAACGUUUUCAGCGGGAACAUCACCCCAUGCCAAAUAUCAUUUCAAACUCAUGACCUUAAAUCAGUACAUUCAAAUAACCUUCAAUUCAUAACAUUUCUCUUACCAAAAUAAAAUGAAACCAAUAAAUACAUUUUAUCAAAUUAAUUUUUCUAAAUAUCUUUCUCAACGUAUAUUGUCCAAUACAAUAAUCCAUACUCUUAAAUGUUUGUUUGGCGACACCAGUGCAGUUCACCCUCAACCCCACUUGGGGUCGCAACCGACUUUGAAUAACACUGCCAUUGACUGUAUUGUAUCAAAAAAGAGAUCAGUAUUUAGGCUUAUUGUAUCUAAUCCAAAGUGCACCAAUUACACACUAUAGUAACAGAGGUAAUGACCAAUAUAAAAGAGAACUGGUGUGUAUCGUUAGAUAUUACUGCACUGUUGGAACUAGGAACACAAGCAUUUCACUACACCCGCAAUAACAUCUGCUAAACAUGUAUGUGACCAAUCAAAUUUGAUUUGACCCCAAUAUGUGCUUUGAGCAACGUACAGAGAGAUUCUUUGUCAUUGCUUUAUUUAUAUAAUCAUUCCAGUGUAUGCAUGAAGACACAGAAAUAUUUCAUAGUUCAUAAUGUGCUGCUCUACUUCGAGAGAAAGUAAAAAAUUAUAGAAAGAAAACAUUUAGAAAUCUAAUAAAUGUAGUUUGACACAGGAGUGAAUGUUAUAUUGACAAGCAGUACAAGCAUGUUGAACUGUUUUUUACAAUUUCAUUUUGAGUUUUGUAUUUUUUUUUUUAAAGGACAGUACAUUGUUGCAGCUAUGGCAGACUUGUAAAAUCAUCAAAUAUUAUCACGACAAAAUACAAUCUUGUUUAUGCGAUGUUCAUUUCAGAGCAUUCUUUUUUUAUAGACAAACUAUCAUUGUCUAAUAUCUUUUCACUUUUGUUUUGAAUGUUCUUAAUUGGAAAAUGCAAAAAUAAAAAAAAUA
This is a long non-coding RNA of Oncorhynchus keta (chum salmon), 1902 nucleotides long. RefSeq lists it as uncharacterized. The transcript is spliced from 2 exons. Lineage: Eukaryota; Metazoa; Chordata; Actinopteri; Salmoniformes; Salmonidae. The record is from RefSeq and is a predicted model, not a curated record.